This 87-nucleotide transfer RNA is filed under the name Sulfurimonas sp. RNAcentral's name for it is "tRNA-Leu". It matches the Rfam family "tRNA". Rfam says of the family: Transfer RNA (tRNA) molecules are approximately 80 nucleotides in length. Their secondary structure includes four short double-helical elements and three loops (D, anti-codon, and T loops). Lineage: Bacteria; Pseudomonadati; Campylobacterota; Epsilonproteobacteria; Campylobacterales; Sulfurimonadaceae. RNAcentral also lists the same sequence under 1 other name. The record is from RNAcentral.
GCCCGGGUGGCGAAAUCGGUAGACGCAGGGGACUUAAAAUCCCCCGGUAGUAAUGCUGUGCCGGUUCAAGUCCGGCCUCGGGCACCA